Molecule: ribosomal RNA, 723 nt
Filed under: Gardnerella vaginalis
Lineage: Bacteria; Bacillati; Actinomycetota; Actinomycetes; Bifidobacteriales; Bifidobacteriaceae
Description: bacterial SSU rRNA
Rfam family: Bacterial small subunit ribosomal RNA
Source: RNAcentral
AUGCAGUCGAACGAGAGAUCUGACCAGCUUGACUGGUUGGUGAGAGUGGCGAACGGGUGAGUAAUGCGUGACCAACCUGCCCCAUGCUCCAGAAUAGCUCUUGGAAACGGGUGGUAAUGCUGGAUGCUCCAACUUGACGCAUGUCUUGUUGGGAAAGUGUUUAGUGGCAUGGGAUGGGGUCGCGUCCUAUCAGCUUGUAGGCGGGGUAAUGGCCCACCUAGGCUUCGACGGGUAGCCGGCCUGAGAGGGCGGACGGCCACAUUGGGACUGAGAUACGGCCCAGACUCCUACGGGAGGCAGCAGUGGGGAAUAUUGCGCAAUGGGGGAAACCCUGACGCAGCGACGCCGCGUGCGGGAUGAAGGCCUUCGGGUUGUAAACCGCUUUUGAUUGGGAGCAAGCCUUUUGGGUGAGUGUACCUUUCGAAUAAGCGCCGGCUAACUACGUGCCAGCAGCCGCGGUAAUACGUAGGGCGCAAGCGUUAUCCGGAAUUAUUGGGCGUAAAGAGCUUGUAGGCGGUUCGUCGCGUCUGGUGUGAAAGCCCAUCGCUUAACGGUGGGUUUGCGCCGGGUACGGGCGGGCUAGAGUGCAGUAGGGGAGACUGGAAUUCUCGGUGUAACGGUGGAAUGUGUAGAUAUCGGGAAGAACACCAAUGGCGAAGGCAGGUCUCUGGGCUGUUACUGACGCUGAGAAGCGAAAGCGUGGGGAGCGAACAGGAUUAGUCC